RNAcentral lists this ribosomal RNA (229 nucleotides) under uncultured bacterium. RNAcentral's name for it is "partial 16S ribosomal RNA". It matches the Rfam family "Bacterial small subunit ribosomal RNA", at positions 15 to 235 of the family's 1533-position model. The record is from RNAcentral.
GUUCCUGGCUCAGGAUGAACGCUAGCUACAGGCUUAACACAUGCAAGUCGAGGGGCAGCAUGGUCUUAGCUUGCUAAGGCCGAUGGCGACCGGCGCACGGGUGAGUAACACGUAUCCAACCUGCCGUCUACUCUUGGACAGCCUUCUGAAAGGAAGAUUAAUANAAGAUGGCAUCAUGAGUUCACAUGUUCACAUGAUUAAAGGUAUUCCGGUAGACGAUGGGGAUGCG